GAUGAAGAACGUAGCGAAAUGCGAUAAGUAAUGUGAAUUGCAGAAUUCAGUGAAUCAUCGAAUCUUUGAACGCACAUUGCGCCCGUCAGUAUUCUGGCGGGCAUGCCUGUUCGAGCGUCAUUACGCCCCUCAAGUCCCCUGUGGACUUGGUGUUGGGGAUCGGCGAGGCUGGUUUUCCAGCACAGCCGUCCCUUAAGUUAAUUGGCGGUCUCGCCGUGGCCCUCCUCUGCGCAGUAGUAAAACACUCGCAACAGGAGCCCGGCGCGGUCCACUGCCGUAAAACCCCCCAACUUUUUAUAGUUGACCUCGAAUCAGGUAGGACUACCCGCUGAACUUAAGCAUAUCAAUAAGCGGAGGA
Molecule: unclassified non-coding RNA, 358 nt
Filed under: soil metagenome
Description: partial contains 5.8S ribosomal RNA, internal transcribed spacer 2, and large subunit ribosomal RNA
Rfam family: 5.8S ribosomal RNA (bases 1-120)
Source: RNAcentral